Molecule: long non-coding RNA, 1687 nt
Filed under: Capra hircus (goat)
Lineage: Eukaryota; Metazoa; Chordata; Mammalia; Artiodactyla; Bovidae
Description: lncRNA (ENSCHIG00000005481.1)
Source: RNAcentral
CCUAGAUCCUAUCAAGCCACUGUUCUGUUAAAUGUUUUUGAAUAGUUUCCAGUAGACCACAGAAAAAGUACAAACACCUGGCAUUCAAGGCCUCCUGAUCUCACUGCAGCCUAGCUUGUGGCUGAUCACCUCUUUCCCUUCCUACACCUGCUCUGUUUCCUGUCAGAUUUAGAGGCAGGUGGGCUGGGUGAGGCCCCGGACCAGCUGGAGGAGGGAAAGGGAAAUUGUUGUCCUGCCACAAGAGACAAAUCAGUCAAGAUGUCCACGAUUUCAAAGCACUUUGGACUGAAAUACAAAGAAGAAUCGUACAUCUUUAAAGAGCUGGAGAAGGUUCGCAAGGAGACCAAAAAGGAAUUUCUCCGAAUCAAGGAGAAGUUGGCCGCCAAGCCAGCAGUGGAUGAAAUCCCCGUCUUCGGCCUCCGGCUCCCCAGCCCGGCCCGGUAUGCGGCGAAGGGAAGCGCUUCCCGCGUCGGAUCCCCCAAACCAGCAGGCUCCCCUCGGGUUAAAGGUCGUGCGCGCCCAACUGCGACCCUCCCGCAGCCGGCGCCCCGAGGCGCCCCGCGGCCCCCGGGCCCGAGGGAGGUGGCCGCUCCCGGGAAGGGCCGGCCCUUCCGCCCCCAGGACUUCUACUUGCGGAGCUCCGCGUUCCUCCGGCGCCGGCCCCAGAAACCGCCAGUCAUCGCGCCCAGGGCCGGCACGUCCAGACCCGUGGUCCUGAUGCCGCCGCGCGUGCCCACGGGCAAGGCCAGGGCUCACCGGGGCUCCAGGACCCCGCCGCCGGCGGACUCCAAGCCCGUGCUCGACCCGGCCCGGGGGCGCGUGGCCAGCCUGGAGCCGGCUCAGCUCGCCGAGGUCGGCCAGGCCAGAGAGAGGCUGCCCGACUCCCUUUCCAGCGACGAGGGAGACGCGGAGGCGGCCGGCCGGCGGAAGAGAGUGAGGAUUAACACCCGCUUCCUGCUCGAGGACUCGGAUGGCGAGUCGCGGGAAGCCCCCGGGUCCUCUUCCAAAACCGACCGCGAGAGCACCCCGCCGAGCGACUCCCGGGAGGUCAACCCGCAGGCCCCGCAGCCAGUGCGUGCGAUCCCCAAGUCCAUCGAGGAGAUCAUCGCCUCGCUGCAGUCCGAGGCCCAGUUGGCCUCCGACCAGACCAUCAAAGAGCUCAUCCACAGCGUCCUUGGGCAGAACUACGACAUUAAAAUGGAAGAACAAAGUUUUGCUCUACUGGAGUUAUAAAUCAAAGAACCUACCAGGAUCUGGACAAAGAAAAGCCAUCUAUUGUUUGACUGUCAUAGGUACAAUUGGGAAGGACUAGUUUGGGCAAAUCUUUUCAGAGUGGCAGACGUGUUUAUUAUACUUUUCUCUUUAUAUUCUCUUUGUGCAUUACUUUAUUCUCACAGACGUAACAGCUUAACCUAGUACAAAUGAUGUAAUGAUUAAGAAGUUUCUUGAUUUACAGUUUUUUUUUUUCCUGUGAAGUUUUAAAAUCUCUCAGAUAUCAUUUGGAUGCCUUCAAUAAAUGCAAAAUGUUCAUGUGUUUAAUUUCAGUUUAUUUUAAAAGAUGGAAAAUAAUAUUUUUAUUUGUUCUUGAGAAAAAAUUCUUAUUCCUUUAGCUGGUUUGAUUGUAAUAAUGAUUUUGAACCAAGCUAGAAGUUGUUCCUUUAAAAUAAACUUCUUUGUUGGAUACAAA